GAUGAACGCUGGCGGCGUGCCUAAUACAUGCAAGUCGAGCGAACGGACGAGAAGCUUGCUUCUCUGAUGUUAGCGGCGGACGGGUGAGUAACACGUGGAUAACCUACCUAUAAGACUGGGAUAACUUCGGGAAACCGGAGCUAAUACCGGAUAAUAUUUUGAACCGCAUGGUUCAAAAGUGAAAGACGGUCUUGCUGUCACUUAUAGAUGGAUCCGCGCUGCAUUAGCUAGUUGGUAAGGUAACGGCUUACCAAGGCAACGAUGCAUAGCCGACCUGAGAGGGUGAUCGGCCACACUGGAACUGAGACACGGUCCAGACUCCUACGGGAGGCAGCAGUAGGGAAUCUUCCGCAAUGGGCGAAAGCCUGACGGAGCAACGCCGCGUGAGUGAUGAAGGUCUUCGGAUCGUAAAACUCUGUUAUUAGGGAAGAACAUAUGUGUAAGUAACUGUGCACAUCUUGACGGUACCUAAUCAGAAAGCCACGGCUAACUACGUGCCAGCAGCCCGCGGAAUACGUAAGUGGCCAGCGUUUUCCCGGAUUUAUUGGGCGUAAAGCGCGCGUAGGCGGUUUUUUAGUCUGAUGUGAAAGCCCACGGCUCAACCGUGGAGGGUCAUUGGAAACUGGAAAACUUGAGUGCAGAAGAGGAAAGUGGAAUUCCAUGUGUAGCGGUGAAAUGCGCAGAGAUAUGGAGGAACACCAGUGGCGAAGGCGACUUUCUGGUCUGUAACUGACGCUGAUGUGCGAAAGCGUGGGGAUCAAACAGGAUUAGAUACCCUGGUAGUCCACGCCGUAAACGAUGAGUGCUAAGUGUUAGGGGGUUUCCGCCCCUUAGUGCUGCAGCUAACGCAUUAAGCACUCCGCCUGGGGAGUACGACCGCAAGGUUGAAACUCAAAGGAAUUGACGGGGACCCGCACAAGCGGUGGAGCAUGUGGUUUAAUUCGAAGCAACGCGAAGAACCUUACCAAAUCUUGACAUCCUUUGACAACUCUAGAGAUAGAGCCUUCCCCUUCGGGGGACAAAGUGACAGGUGGUGCAUGGUUGUCGUCAGCUCGUGUCGUGAGAUGUUGGGUUAAGUCCCGCAACGAGCGCAACCCUUAAGCUUAGUUGCCAUCAUUAAGUUGGGCACUCUAAGUUGACUGCCGGUGACAAACCGGAGGAAGGUGGGGAUGACGUCAAAUCAUCAUGCCCCUUAUGAUUUGGGCUACACACGUGCUACAAUGGACAAUACAAAGGGCAGCGAAACCGCGAGGUCAAGCAAAUCCCAUAAAGUUGUUCUCAGUUCGGAUUGUAGUCUGCAACUCGACUACAUGAAGCUGGAAUCGCUAGUAAUCGUAGAUCAGCAUGCUACGGUGAAUACGUUCCCGGGUCU
This 1372-nucleotide ribosomal RNA is filed under the name uncultured bacterium. Its description in RNAcentral is "bacterial SSU rRNA". It matches the Rfam family "Bacterial small subunit ribosomal RNA", at positions 28 to 1381 of the family's 1533-position model. The record is from RNAcentral.